Molecule: ribosomal RNA, 119 nt
Filed under: Pteropus alecto (black flying fox)
Lineage: Eukaryota; Metazoa; Chordata; Mammalia; Chiroptera; Pteropodidae
Source: RNAcentral
GCCUAUGGCCAUGCCACCCUGAACACGUCUGAUUCCAUCUGAUCUUGGAAGCUAAGCAGGGUCGGGCCUGGUUAGUACUUGGAUGGGAGACCACCUAGGAAGACCAGGUGCCGUAGGCG